Molecule: ribosomal RNA, 1899 nt
Filed under: human gut metagenome
Description: bacterial LSU rRNA
Rfam family: Bacterial large subunit ribosomal RNA
Source: RNAcentral
UCAAGCUAAAAAGGGCGCAAGGGGGAUGCCUUGGCAUUGGUAGCCGAUGAAGGACGUAGCGAUCUACGAUAAGCCACGGGAAGUCGAAAGCAGGCAAUGAUCCGUGGAUUUCCGAAUGGGGAAACCCGGCAGAGCAAUACUCUGUCAACUCCUUGUGAAUAAAAUAGCAUUGAGUAGGGAACCUCCUGAACUGAAACAUCUAAGUAGGGAGAGGAAAAGAAAUCAACCGAGAUUCCGCUAGUAGUGGCGAGCGAACGCGGAAGAGGCCAAACCAAGAGUAGUAAUACUUUUGGGGUUCGGACUGAGUACGGUAUUGACAAGAGUUAGUAGAAUGGAAUGGGAAGUUCAACCAUAGAGUGUGAGAGUCGCGUAUACGAAAACUUGAGUCAGCCAUCAGUAUCCAGAGUACCGCCGGACACGUGAAACCCGGUGGGAAUACGGGGGGACCACCCUCCAAGCCUAAAUACUCACCAAUGACCGAUAGUGUAUAGUACUGUGAAGGAAAGGUGAAAAGAACCCCUGGCGGGGAGUGAAAAAGAACCUGAAACCUUGUGCCUACAAGCACAUAGAGCACGUCAACGUGUGAUAUGGUACCUUUUGUAGAAUGGUCCGGCGAGUGAAUGUCACUAGCGAGGUUAAGAACUUAAGGUUUGCAGCCGAAGCGAAAGCGAGUCUUAAUAGGGCGAGUUUAGUUAGUGGUAUUCGACCCGAAACCGAGUGACCUAGCCAUGAGCAGGCUGAAGUGGAGGUAAAACUCCAUGGAGGGCCGAACCCACUCCCGUUGAAAUGGUAGGGGAUGACUUGUGGCUAGCGGAGAAAUUCCAAUCGAACUCGGAGAUAGCUGGUUCUCUCCGAAAUAGCUUUAGGGCUAGCCUCAAUUAACAUUACCGCAGGUAAAGCACUGAAUGGGCUAGGGGGCGAAAGCUUACUGAACCCUAUCAAACUCAGAAUGGCGGAUAAUGAAUAAUUGGGAGUCACACUACGUGAGAUAAGUUUCGUGGUGGAAAGGGAAACAGCCCAGACCCACAGCUAAGGUCCCAAAGUACAGUUAAGUGGAAAAGGAUGUGAAGUUGCGCAGACAACCAGGAUGUUGGCUCAGAAGCAGCCACUCAUUCAAAGAGUGCGUAAUAGCUCACUGGUCGAGUGAUUUUGCGCCGAAAAUUUAACGGGGCUAAACUGUACACCGAAGCUUGGGAAUAUACCUUAUGGUAUGUUGGUAGGAGAGCGUCGUAUGCGGGGUGAAGUCGUAGCGAAAGCGGCGGUGGACUGCAUAGGAGUGAGAAUGCCGGAAUGAGUAGCGAGAAUUAUGUGAGAAUCAUAAUGGCCGAAAGACUAAGGUUUUAGAAGGAAGGUUCGUCCGCUUCUAGUUAGCCGGGAGCUAAGGCGAGGCCGAAAGGCGUAGUCGAUGCACAUACGGUUGAGAUUCCGUAGCCACCUUAAAUUUAAACUAAGGGACACAUUGAAAGGGAAUAACCCAGGCGUUGGUUGACCUGGGCGUAAGGGAACGAAAAUAAGUAGUGAAGUAUUCUUGGACAGUGGCGAGAAAAGCUUAGUGUAUAUUAUUAGGGUGCCCGUACUGCAAACCGACACAGGUAGUCAGGAAGAGAAUUCUAAGGCCAUCGGGAGAAGCGUUGUUAAGGAACUCGGCAAAUUGACCCCGUAACUUCGGAAUAAGGGGUGCUCACGAGAGUGAGCCGCAGUGAAUAGGUCCAGGCAACUGUUUAUCAAAAACACAGCUCUCUGCUAAAUCGUAAGAUGACGUAUAGGGGGUGACACCUGCCCGGUGCUGGAAGGUUAAGAGGAGGAGUGCAAGCCCCGAAUCGAAGCCCCAGUAAACGGCGGCCGUAACUAUAACGGUCCUAAGGUAGCGAAAUUCCUUGUCGGGUAAGUUCCGACCCG